This 1779-nucleotide long non-coding RNA is filed under the name Canis lupus familiaris (dog). RNAcentral's name for it is "lncRNA (ENSCAFG00845023686.1)". The record is from RNAcentral. Lineage: Eukaryota; Metazoa; Chordata; Mammalia; Carnivora; Canidae.
UUCCCUCUCUCAGCUCAGAGGCCUUCUCUGACUACUCUGUGUAAAGUGAAUUGCUCUCUCUCUUUUUUUUUUUUUUUUAUUUCCCAUCACACUUCUGCUUUCCUUUACAACUUCUUUUACUAGAAUGUGGGCAGGAAUUUCUGUCAGAUUCCCUGGAACCAGCUCAGGGCCAGGCACACUAUAGGUGUUCAAUAAAUAUUUAUUGAAUGACUGAGGUCUCUGUAUAUUUCAUGGUACCUGUUCAUAUAACAGAGCUCCGUUAAACUGGGGGUGCUUGGCUGAUGGGAGCACAGCUCCCUGCCCUAGGUCCCCAACAGGGAAGGGAUGCAGAACCCCUGGUCGGAGGCCACACUCUCCUUAGUGAUAACUGAAGGCCCCCGGGUGCCGGCCAGGGGAGGGCUGACAGGUGGGGCUGAUGAGUUCCAGACCCAGGCCUCUGGGCCCCGGCACAGCCCGACAGAACCGGACGCUGGGCAGGAGCCAGAGCCAAGCUUCCAUGACGUCGCUGCCUUCAAGGGCCAUGCUCCCCCCUAGCCCCUUGGAGGGGCUUCGGGUCUCAAAGCUGUGUGCCACUGGGCUCUGCGGAAAGAGCCGUCUUGCCUGGUUUGAGUCCCAGAUCUGGUUGUGUGACCAGUGACAACUAUCAGAACACUCGCAGAGUAGGCUUUAUAAAGUAAAAAGUACUUUGUACACUGAAAACCUCUGUAAACCAAAAACAGGUGCUCCCUGAACUGGCAAGGCCUUAGGGAGCUUCUGUCCUGAACCCCUGCUUUUGACGAAGGGAGAGCCUGAGGUUUAACUGAAAUAAUGUAUGUAGACUGCUUAGCACGAGGCUUGGGACUUUGUGUUUUUAUUCUAGCUACUAACCACCUGCCUACUGCUGGCUAAGCAACCUGUGCCUCGGUGCCUCCUGGCUUCCCAGCCCUUCCUGCCUCAGCUGGAGACCUUGGUCCAUCUCUCUCUCUCUCUCUCUCUCUCUCUCUCUCUCUCUCUCUCUUUUUUUUUUUUUUUUUUGAGAGAGAGAACACGGCAUGAGCUGGCGGGAGGAGCAAAUGGAGAGAGAGCAAUAAAUUGCCUGCUGAGCAGGGAGCCCGACUCAGAGCUUGAUCUUGGGACCCUGGGAUUAUGACCUGAGCUGAAGACAGAUGCUUAACUGACUGAGCCAUCCAGGUGCUCCCCAUCUGUCUUCAAUAGGAUUAUAAUUACUAUUUUUUUGAGCGUUUGUGAGGUACCAGGCCAUGAGCUAAGCACUCUGUAUACAUUGCUUAAUUCUUUUGUCGUGGGAUUAGAUAGUAUUAUUGUCCUCAUUUUACUGAUGAGGAAGCUGAGGCUCAGAGACAUUAGGUAAUCUCCCCAAGGCCCUACAAUUAGCAAGGGGCUGAAAGUGUUUAGACCCCAAAAUAGGAAGUCUCCAAGCAUCUUGGUUCUGGCUUCUUUUCCUUUAGAUAUCUCUUCUAAUAACUUAUAUUUGCUGCCAGCUACUCCUUCCUGGGGCUUUGGGAAGUUUUCUGAGAAUCCACUUGGUCAGCCACCAGAAGAGGGCAAGACAGGGUCUUAAACCUCCAUCUGAAAGCCUCCCCUAUGGCCCAGUGAGGAGCUUUUUUUGGAGUUGGCAGUGACGAGGUCUCUGAGGGUCAAAAACACAGCCCUGGGGAAAGAGAUAGGGUGUGGGCAGGAGCCCACAGACCCAGCCGUGGUCUCAGCAAGCAUCCUGCCAGCUUUUUCUCUACGAGUCCAGUUAUACAUUGCCCAUGGGAUGGUGGGAGCUGCAGAUGGAGG